CCAAUAGCGUAUAUUAAAGUUGUUGCAGUUAAAAAGCUCGUAGUUGAACUUCGGAAUUUGCCCAUUGGUCAGGCUUAACUGUCUGAACUGGUGUGACGAGUUCCUACCUUCUGAGGAAUCUUCAUGCCAUUCAGUUGGUGUGGGGGGAAAUCAGGACUGUUACUUUGAAAAAAUUAGAGUGUUUAAAGCAGGCAUCCGUCUGAAUACAUUAGCAUGGAAU
RNAcentral lists this ribosomal RNA (220 nucleotides) under uncultured Diversispora. Its description in RNAcentral is "partial small subunit ribosomal RNA". It matches the Rfam family "Eukaryotic small subunit ribosomal RNA", at positions 591 to 815 of the family's 1831-position model. Lineage: Eukaryota; Fungi; Glomeromycota; Glomeromycetes; Diversisporales; Diversisporaceae. The record is from RNAcentral.